CUCAUCUAGAUAAUUAAUAGGGUAGUCCAUCCAUUUUGUUGAAAAGCCACAUAUCUUAGAAAUUUCUGUUGCACCCUUUCAAUUUUAUGGACAUGUUCAUUAUUGUAUGAGAAUACCUCUCAACAACACCACCCAUUUGAAACGAUUUAAUUAAUUAAUACAUUGAAUAUGUGAAUUGAAACUUACAAUGCCGUAGCAUUAUGGUAUCACCUAUAAAAUAAGAGUGAGUCAAAGGUUCUCUACACCUAUAAAAGAAUAUGAAAUAACUUUUCCCAGCAUUUAAAUUAUAUACAAGCACCAAUCGUUAAGUUGUACUAAAUCUGACUGAAGCUUGAAGCAGUCAUCUGUGAAUGAAUCUCUAUUAUCAAAAAAGAAUAGCAGUUUGAGAGAUCAUUUAUAUAGAGGUUAAACAACAGAGGCUCCAGGUGAGACUUGUGUAGAACACUAGAGCAUACUGAAAUCUCAUGUGACUUAUAGUCAAAAAUUCUAACAGCUUGUGUUCGAUCAGUAGAUCUCUACACUAUUUCCACCUGAUCCAGACACUAUUAAGAAAUUGAAGCAAUGAUAUAGGAAACGGUGGAAAAGUCGUACUCUCAUUCAUAUAUCCCUAUCUCAUUCUGAAAAUUAGAGUAGUAUGGGAAUAAAGUGAUGUUUUUCGAGUAUAAUUAGACCAAUUACGAAAUAAAAACACUAUUUCCAGGCGAUCCGAACACUAGUAAGAAAUUGAAGCAAUGAUAUAGGAAAAGGUGGAAAAGUUAAACUCUCAUUCAUUUAUCCCUAUCUCAGUUUGAGAAUUAGAAGAGUAUGUGAAUAGAGUGAUGUUUUUCGGGUAUAAUUUGACCAAUUACGAAAUAAAAACACUAUUUCCAGGCGAUCCGAACACUAGUAAGAAAUUGAAGCAAUGAUAUAGGAAAAGGUGGAAAAGUCGACCUCUCAUUCAUAUAUCUCUAUCUCAGUCUGAGAAUUAGAAGAAUAUGGGAACAAAGUGAUGUUUUUCGAGUAUAAUUAGACCAAUUACGAAAUAAAAACACUAUUUCCAGGCAAUCCGAACACUAGUAAGAAAUUGAAGCGAUGAUAUAGGAAACGGUGGAAAAGUCGUACUCUCAUUCAUAUAUCUCUAUCUCAGUCUGAGAAUUAGAAGAAUAUGGGAACAAAGUGAUGUUUUUCGAGUAUAAUUAGACCAAUUACGAAAUAAAAACACUAUUUCCAGGCGAUCCGAACACUAGUAAGAAAUUGAAGCAAUGAUAUAGGAAAAGGUGGAAAAGUCGACCUCUCAUUCAUAUAUCUCUAUCUCAGUCUGAGAAUUAGAAGAAUAUGGGAACAAAGUGAUGUUUUUCGAGUAUAAUUAGACCAAUUACGAAAUAAAAACACUAUUUCCAGGCGAUCCGAACACUAGUAAGAAAUUGAAGCAAUGAUAUAGGAAAAGGUGGAAAAGUUAAACUCUCAUUCAUUUAUCCCUAUCUCAGUUUGAGAAUUAGAAGAGUAUGUAAAUAGAGUGAUGUUUUUCGGGUAUAAUUUGACCAAUUACGAAAUAAAAACACUAUUUCCAGGCAAUCCGAACACUAGUAAGAAAUUGAAGCGAUGAUAUAGGAAAAGGUGGAAAAGUUAAACUCUCAUUUAUUUAUCCCUAUCUCAGUUUGAGAAUUAGAAGAGUAUGUGAAUAGAGUGAUGUUUUUCGGGUAUAAUUUGACCAAUUACGAAAUAAAAACACUAUUUCCAGGCGAUCCGAACACUAGUAUUAAAUCGAAGCAAUGAUAUAGGAAAAGGUGGAAAAGUCGACCUCUCAUUCAUAUAUCUCUACCUCAGUCUGAGAAUUAGAAGAAUAUGGGAACAAAGUGAUGUUUUUCGAGUAUAAUUAGACCAAUUACGAAAUAAAAACACUAUUUCCAGGCAAUCCGAACACUAGUAAGAAAUUGAAGCGAUGAUAUAGGAAAAGGUGGAAAAGUUAAACUCUCAUUCAUUUAUCCCUAUCUCAGUUUGAGAAUUAGAAGAGUAUGUGAAUAGAGUGAUGUUUUUCGGGUAUAAUUUGACCAAUUACGAAAUAAAAACACUAUUUCCAGGCGAUCCGAACACUAGUAAGAAAUUGAAGCAAUGAUAUAGGAAAAGGUGGAAAAGUCGACCUCUCAUUCAUAUAUCUCUAUCUCAGUCUGAGAAUUAGAAGAAUAUGGGAACAAAGUGAUGUUUUUCGAGUAUAAUUAGACCAAUUACGAAAUAAAAACACUAUUUCCAGGCAAUCCGAACACUAGUAAGAAAUUGAAGCAAUGAUAUAGGAAAAGGUGAAAAAGUCGACCUCUCAUUCAUAUAUCCCUAUCUCAUUCUAAAAAUUAGAGGAGUAUGGGAAUAGAGUGAUGUUUUUUAGGUAUAAUUUGACCAAUUACGAGA
RNAcentral lists this long non-coding RNA (2382 nucleotides) under Anthonomus grandis grandis. RNAcentral describes it as "uncharacterized LOC126734701". The record is from RNAcentral. Lineage: Eukaryota; Metazoa; Arthropoda; Insecta; Coleoptera; Curculionidae.